Molecule: long non-coding RNA, 423 nt
Organism: Astatotilapia calliptera (eastern happy)
Lineage: Eukaryota; Metazoa; Chordata; Actinopteri; Cichliformes; Cichlidae
Source: Ensembl
CUGUGGCUGUGGAAGUUUUUUUUUUUUUUUUUUUUUAAAUGGGGGGAAAAGAAAAGAACUGCAGGCAGAGGUGGUGCAGAUGCAGAGCUUGAUGCCACACUACACCGAAAAACAUAGAAGGUGAGAGUUCAUAGGAGCAAAGUUGGUCCCCUCCCGAUGGAGCUGCGAGCCUGAGUGUGUAACCCCCCAAGAAAUGAUUCCAUUUUACCUUGACCACAAAAACAAGUGCACAUUUUCCUCCUGCAUCCUCAUCUCCGCCGUGAAAGCUGAAUACAUUAAGUCCUGGACAUGAGGCCCAACAAGGACUUCAGACUCCUACUCACUUAUUACACUCGAAUCCCGAAAUCCUCCUCUCCUCUCCUCUGUCCUGUCUCCUAAACCUUUUUAUUCAGGGACCCGGAGACCUCUCCGGAACAAAACAGC